AACUAAUGAAAUCACUCCAAAUAGCCAUAGUCACUAGCAAAGUGUUUAGUGCCAAACAUAUGGUAUUCUGAAG
Aotus nancymaae (Ma's night monkey) is the source of this 73-nucleotide small nucleolar RNA. Lineage: Eukaryota; Metazoa; Chordata; Mammalia; Primates; Aotidae. The record is from Ensembl.